GUGGGUAUAGCUCAGGUGGUAGAGCACUGGAUUGUGGCUCCAGUUGUCGCGGGUUCGAGUCCCGUUACUCACCCUA
Molecule: transfer RNA, 76 nt
Filed under: Chondromyces crocatus
Lineage: Bacteria; Pseudomonadati; Myxococcota; Polyangiales; Polyangiaceae
Description: tRNA-His
Rfam family: tRNA
About the family: Transfer RNA (tRNA) molecules are approximately 80 nucleotides in length.
Source: RNAcentral